UUCAACAACGGAUCUCUUGGUUCUGGCAUCGAUGAAGAACGCAGCGAAAUGCGAUAAGUAAUGUGAAUUGCAGAAUUCAGUGAAUCAUCGAAUCUUUGAACGCACAUUGCGCCCGUCAGUAUUCUGGCGGGCAUGCCUGUUCGAGCGUCAUUACGC
RNAcentral lists this ribosomal RNA (156 nucleotides) under Metarhizium guizhouense. RNAcentral describes it as "5.8S ribosomal RNA". It matches the Rfam family "5.8S ribosomal RNA". Rfam says of the family: 5.8S ribosomal RNA (5.8S rRNA) is a component of the large subunit of the eukaryotic ribosome. It is transcribed by RNA polymerase I as part of the 45S precursor that also contains 18S and 28S rRNA. The record is from RNAcentral. Lineage: Eukaryota; Fungi; Ascomycota; Sordariomycetes; Hypocreales; Clavicipitaceae.